This is a long non-coding RNA of Empidonax traillii (willow flycatcher), 1796 nucleotides long. RefSeq lists it as uncharacterized. The record is from RefSeq and is a predicted model, not a curated record. The transcript has 9 exons. Lineage: Eukaryota; Metazoa; Chordata; Aves; Passeriformes; Tyrannidae.
GUCCACAGGCUGCACGGCUGUGCACUGAAUCUUGCUGGUUUCUGCACGGAGAAACUUUCACACUUCGUUUUGGGUCUUUUUGUCAGAGAAAAUACAUUAAUCUUCAGUGAUGUCUUCAGCAGCCCCUUCCAGCGUGUGCCAGAGGGACAGUUACAGGUCCAGGGAGAGACUCAAAAAACAGAGAGCUGAACACAUUAGACUAGAGAAAAGUGAAUGCCAUUACCUCACAUGCCUGUGGAUGCAGCUGUAGGAGGCUUCAGUCAAAUCACCCACUACUCCAUCCCUUCCUGAUUGAAGUUGGGCUGUAGAAAAAUAUUUCCACUACCCUGAUAGUUAAAAAAAUGCCUGCUAGUUGUUUAUUGUUCAAGCAUUCCUGCUGCUUCCCUGUAGUUAAUGGAGGAAACGCCACGGGAGCCAAGGGAGAAACUGGCAAAGAGAAGCAGAAUAAAUUAAUAUCAUUGUUUCACCCUGGCCCCAUCCUGGGACAUCCAAUUGUUUCACAUGGGCAUUGGAGCUGGGGGUUUGCAUUCAGGUAUGGCCAAGAGAGUUGGAUUUCGGCUCUAGAGCUGCUGCUCCCUUUGGUGCAAUGUGGGAGGUGGGAUGGCUGAAGGGCAUGGCUGGAGAAAGGAGCAUUCUCCCAUGCAGUGGGCCUGGGUGUUGCGUGGGCAUACUGCUGGUAGCCUGCCAGGGCUGCUGCUGACCUACCUCUGCUCAGAGGAGGCUUUGGCCUCGGAGAAGCUGCCUGUUUCAUCCCUAGGCAAAGCAAGCCUUUUCCUUCCUUCAGCCGCUUCCUGGAAGGUCUCAGUUCCUAAAAGAACCUGUAUAACUUGAGCUCAGUCCUGUGGUUGCCCAGAGGCUCCGUUCCAUCAGAUGUGCCUGACAGGAGCAGUGGUGUUUGAUUUAUGUCAGAUUCCACGCUCUGUUGGCCCACAAUACCAGGCACGACUUCAACAUCUUAUGUCCAUAUUUUGCUCAGACUCUUUGACGUGAGCUUGGGAGAGCUGAUCUGGGCAGCUGAAGGUUGCCCUGUCCCUUGCCUAGCUUCCAGCUGUGGGUGCUGUACAUCUACAAAGGGCAAUUGCACCUUCAGCUGAGACUUGAGGAAUCCUUGUCACGGGAAGAAAAGCACAGAAGGUGAUGUGCUUCUGGUCACCUGAUGACUUACAAGGUCUCUUUCUUCUCACAUUAUCCUUUCAGUGCAUGGACAAGAGGAAGGAAAAGGCUGCUCAAACUGGCAGGUUCUCCCAACCACGUGUCCUUCUGGCAGCUGUGUGGGUGUGAUGGGGAUGGAAGGAAGAAUAACGUGCUAGAAAUCUCACCAGUUACACAGCUGGUAAUUUAUCCACUGGAAGGGAGAGGGAUGCAGGAGCCAAAGAGAUCAGCUCCACAAACACCUGAUCUCGGGACUAUUGCAGGACUGUCUCCAGAUCUUCCUUUGAAGGUGACAGACCAGGAAAGUGCAUCUGUACCAACCGGAGCACCAGGCCCACUAUGCUGAAGAGUUUGGCAUGCAUUUUCAAUUGUGAAGAUUCAGGUGUGCACUGAUACAACUCAUCCAAACUCAACAGAGCUGAUCCUGAUGUACACAAGGACACUUGUAUCCAGAUUACCCAGCUUUCCCCCUCCUCUUCCCCUCAAGGUCUUUCUGCUCAUGUCAUGUGUAAUGGCAUAAGUUCAGGUGUGGAUCAGAGAGACUUUGAAAUGGAAAAUCAGAGGAUACUGCAGGCCUUAUUUUGAGAAGAGCUGGCAGAGUGGUGAAGGUUAGGACUAAGGUAGGCUUGUAUGGAGUGCUGUGU